This 70-nucleotide transfer RNA is filed under the name Quadrula quadrula (mapleleaf mussel). RNAcentral's name for it is "tRNA-Arg". Lineage: Eukaryota; Metazoa; Mollusca; Bivalvia; Unionida; Unionidae. The record is from RNAcentral.
AAAGAAGGAAGCCACAAAGCAAUAUGGUUUCGACCCAUAACUUAGAACUAAAUGUUCCCAUCUUUCCUAC